This 749-nucleotide long non-coding RNA is filed under the name Musa acuminata (dwarf banana). Its description in RNAcentral is "long non-coding RNA (MACU_LNC002710)". The record is from RNAcentral. Lineage: Eukaryota; Viridiplantae; Streptophyta; Magnoliopsida; Zingiberales; Musaceae.
GAGACCUCCCCCCUUCCCCCUCAUGCAACUCCACUUCCUCUUUCGUCUAUAGUCUUGUCAUGCUCUCUUUUUUCCCAGGUAGAGACUCUCGUUGACUCCAUCAAGCCAGGGUGUCAUCGAUGCACGCUCCUCCUUCGUCGCUUGUUUCAUCUUGGACAUCGUAAAGUCCAGAGGGUUUCAAGUUUCCAUUGCUUGCACCAUCUAAUUCUGUGAGUAGAUCGAUCAAGAUGUGGUCUUCCUAUAGGAUGGUGCCGACUCGGCAACUUGGCUCCACAUCUUCGAUGCGGAAUCCAGCAGAUCUGAGGGUUGUGUCAUGCUAUUGUGCCUUGAUAUCACCACAUUGCUCACGUACACAUGAUAGAACAUUAUUAAGCCUACUGUGCACUUCCCUUAUUAUUUCCAUGAUUGGAAUAGAGAACUCGUGGUAGAGAGGUAUGUACAGCUAACUGUGGCUUUAAGGAAAUUUAUGUUCUUGCGUUUCAUGGUUAUGUGAUGUUGAGGAGUGAAUAUGAUUGAUCACAAGGUUUACAUUGAUGGUUGUGCAGAUUUAUUUGAUCCCUCCCAACAUGACCUAUCUGCCAUUAUUUGAGACCAUCAUGUCCACACCAGUUUAAAUAUUUCAAGCAGCAAGGUUGUUAGCGAGGAAUUUCGUUAAUCUAAUGUGAAGUUUUAGAAAGUUCCAUUAACUCGUUUGGAGGAAAAAUUAUUUAAUAUAGAGGUGACAAAUCGAAUCCUUUGGGAUUUAACGU